RNAcentral lists this long non-coding RNA (246 nucleotides) under Homo sapiens (human). RNAcentral's name for it is "non-protein coding lnc-BARX2-2:1". The record is from RNAcentral. Lineage: Eukaryota; Metazoa; Chordata; Mammalia; Primates; Hominidae.
AUGCCUCUCACAAAGGAUCUCCUUCAUCCCUCUCCAGAAGACAACAAGAGGAAACACACGAAGAAGUGCUUGGGGCAGAUCCCUGGUUCCUGCUUCAUGGAUGUGAGAUGUCCAGGAUGCUCUACAGUCACAAUGGCCUUUUCCUACGCACGAACAGUAGUUUCACAUGUUGGCUGCUCCACUGUCCUCUGCCCACCUACAGGAGGAAAAGCAAGGCCUACAGAAGGAUGUCCCUUUAGGAGGAAG